GACGAACGCUGGCGGCGUGCUUAACACAUGCAAGUCGAACGGUGAAGCGCCUUCCUUUUUGGUGGGUGUGGAUGAGUGGCGAACGGGUGAGUAACACGUGAGUAACCUGCCCCCUUCUUCUGGAUAACCGCAUGAAAGUGUGGCUAAUACGGGAUAUUCUGGGUCUGUCGCAUGAUGGGUCUGGGAAAGAUAUUGUUUCGGUGGGGGAUGGGCUCGCGGCCUAUCAGCUUGUUGGUGGGGUGAUGGCCUACCAAGGCGGUGACGGGUAGCCGGCCUGAGAGGGUGGACGGUCACACUGGGACUGAGACACGGCCCAGACUCCUACGGGAGGCAGCAGUGGGGAAUAUUGCACAAUGUGCGCAAGCCUGAUGCAGCGACGCCGCGUGAGGGAUGGAGGCCUUCGGGUUGUGAACCUCUUUCGCCAGUGAAGCAGGCCUGCCUCGUUUGUGGGUGGGUUGACGGUAGCUGGAUAAGAGGCGCCGGCUGACUACGUG
This 494-nucleotide ribosomal RNA is filed under the name uncultured bacterium. Its description in RNAcentral is "partial 16S ribosomal RNA". It matches the Rfam family "Bacterial small subunit ribosomal RNA", at positions 28 to 507 of the family's 1533-position model. The record is from RNAcentral.